GCCCUUAUAGCACAGUGGUAGUGCGUUGCACUUGUACCAUGCAAAGGUCCAUCGUUCAAUCCGGUGUGAGGGCA
RNAcentral lists this transfer RNA (74 nucleotides) under Rhizoctonia solani AG-1 IB. RNAcentral describes it as "tRNA-Thr". It matches the Rfam family "tRNA". From Rfam's summary of the family: Transfer RNA (tRNA) molecules are approximately 80 nucleotides in length. The record is from RNAcentral. Lineage: Eukaryota; Fungi; Basidiomycota; Agaricomycetes; Cantharellales; Ceratobasidiaceae.